Molecule: long non-coding RNA, 5247 nt
Filed under: Sus scrofa (pig)
Lineage: Eukaryota; Metazoa; Chordata; Mammalia; Artiodactyla; Suidae
Description: lncRNA (ENSSSCG00000056835.1)
Source: RNAcentral
AAAAUACUUACUAAGAAACGAUUUGUAAUGAGUAUUUGAGACUUAAAUAGGUGAUUAGAAGAUGGGAUGUUUGGAAUUCUCUUUGUAACUUUUAAGCUUUUAUACUCUAAAAGGAUUUUUGAAAUAUAGGUGUCCACAAACACUUCAUUUUAAAUGUGGACUCAUUUUCCCUAGCAUUUAAAAGUUAAAAUGUCAUCCAAAAGGAUUGGAAGGAGACAGCUUCAUCCAGUUUUUGAACUUAAACUAAAAAAAAAAAAUUAAGAUUAUCUAGCUCCGAAAUAAUAGAUGGGGAUCAGUACUAGUCUGAUAGUUAAUUCAGUUCUCCAUUUUCAGGCAUCAGCCAUCUAGUUCCAUCUAAUAAAAAUGAACCACUUGUAUGACGUAUGUUAAAUUUUAUAUACACACUUUUUUUAGCUCAAUCUAGAUGGAUUUUAAGAAUUAUCAAUAAUCUUAAUAGAUAUAAAAAUUAAGGUAUUUUAAAACACCUUAAAAUAUUUUAAAAAGGAGAUUAUUAUAAAAUUUGUCCUCCUUUGCCUGAUAAUAUUUGUCUUAAAUCUACUUAGUCUGAUGUUAAUAUGUCAUCCUAAUUUUCUUUUGAAUACUGUUAGCAUUGUUAGCAUGGUAUAUCUUUUUUUUUUCUUUUAAUCUACUUGUACCUUUCUUUUAGGCAACUUUGUUCUUGCUUUUCUAUCCAAUAUAACAAUCUCUGCUUUUUAAUUUGUGUGUUUAUAUCAUUUACAUUUAAUAUGAUUGUUAUGUUUAGGUCUUAAACCUCUAAGCUAAGCCUUAAACCUUAAACUAAAACAUUCUAGUCUUUGAUUUCACUUUGUUUCAUCUGUUGUUUGUUCCCUUUCCCCAUCUUUUUUUUUUUUAAGUAAUUACUGAUAUUUUAUUUUUCAAUAGUUAUUUCCCCAAUACAAUUUUUUUUUCUACUGUACAGCAUGGUGACCCAGUUACACAUACCUGCACACAUUCUAUUUUUGCACAUUAUCAUGUUCCAUCAUAAGUGACUAGACAGAGUUCCCAGUGCUACACAGCAGGAUCUCAUUGCUAAUCCAUUCCAAAGGCAAUAGUUUGUAUCUGUUAACCCCAAGCUCCCCAACCACCCCUCUCCCUCACCCUUCUCCUUGGCAACAACAAGUCUGUUCUGCAAGUGCAUGAUUUUCUUUUCUGUGGAAAGGUUCAUUUGUGCCUUUGAUUAGAUUCCAGAUAUAAGUGAUAACAUAUGGUAUUUGUCGUUCUCUUUCUGACUUACUUCACUCAGAAUGAGAGUCUGUAGUUCCAUCCAUAUUGCUGCAAAUGGCAUUAUUUCGUUCUUUAAGGCUGAGUAGUAUUCUAUUGUGUAUAUACACCACAUCUUCCUAAUGAUUUCUUCCAUUUUUUUUAGUCUCUAUUUUAUUGAUUUCCUCCUUUAUCUUUAUGAUUUCCUUCCUUCUGCUGACUUUAGGUUUUGUUUUUUCUUCUUUUUCUAAUUCAUUUAGGUGUUGGGUUAAGUUGUCAAUUUGAGAUCUAUCUUUUUUUUGUAUUAAAUUAAAAAAAUGAUUAUUUUUCCUUUGGUAACUUAUUAGGUAUAAUUCUGUUUUGUUAUUUCAGUGGUUGCUUUAACAUCAUAAUAUACAUCAUUAACUUAUCACAGUUGACCUUCAGGUAAUAUACCACUUUGCAUAUAGUAUAAGAAACUACAAAUAUAUAUUCUAUUUCAGUGCUGGCUUUUAUGUUAUUGUUUUCAUGCAUUUAACUUAUAUGUGCUAUAAACCUCACAAUGCAUUGUUAUUUUCAUUUAAACAGUUGCUUUUUAAAAGAUUUAAGUGGAGUUCCUUCAUGGCUCAGCAGUAACAGACCCGACUAGUAUCCAUGAGGACAUGAGUUUGAUCCCUGGCCUUGCUCAGUGGGUUAAGGAUCUGGCAUUGCUGUGAACUGUGGUGUAGGUCUCAGGUACAGCUUGGAACCUGAGUUGUACCUGAGUUGCUGUGGCUGUGGCGUAGCCAGCAGCUAUAGUUUUCGAUUUGACCCCUAGCCAGAGAGCUUCCAUAUGCUGUGGGUGCAGCCAUAAAGAAAAAAAAAAAAAAGAUCUAAGUAUGAAAGUCUUAUAUAUAUGCCCAUAUAGAUACAAAUUUCUGUGUUCUUCAUUCUGUAUGCAGAUCCAUUUUUCCAUCAGGUAUAAUUUUCCUUCUUCCUAAGAGGCUUCUUUUAACAUUCCUUAUCGUACAGGUCUGCUGUUGAUGAAUUCAGCUUUCAUAUAUAUAUAAAAGAUUUUCUUGUCUUUUUUUUGUGCUUGAAUGUGCAAAAAAGUUUUAUUCAUAUUAGGCAAAAUACUGGCAACAAUCCCAAUGUCUAUUGCUUGAUGACUGGAUAACCAAAUUGUUAUAUCCAUGUGAUGGAAUACUAUUCAGUAAUAAAAAAGGAUAAAGUACUAUAUAAUUGACAUAUAGCACUAUAUAAGUUUAAGGUGUAGAGCCUAAUGAUUUGAUUUCAUAUAUCAUGAAAUGUUUAUCUUAAUAAGUUUAGUGAACAUCCAUCAUCUCAUAUAGAUACAAAAUUUAAGAAAUAGAAAAAAUUUUUUGCUUGUGAUGAGAACUCUCAGGCUUUACUCUCAACAAUUUUCAUAUAUAACAUGCAGCAGUGUUAAUAAUAUUUAUCAUUUGCAUUACAUCCCUAGUACUUAUGUAUAUUAUAACUGGAAAUUUGUACCUUUUGAUUGUCUUCAUCCAGUUCUCCUUCCCCCCGACCUCCUGCCUCUGGUAAGCACAAAUCCUGUCUUUUUCUGUGAGUUUGUUUAUUUGUUUUUAAAGUAUAAUUGACCUGUAACACUGUGUUUAUUCUUAUUACACAACAUAGUGAUUUGAUAUUUCUUUCAUUUCAAAAUGAUCACAAUAAGUCUAGUUAUAUGUCACCAUACCAAAGAAAUUACAUAGUAGUUGAUUAUAAUCUUCACACUGUACAUUUCAUACCAGUGACUCAUUUAAAUAUUUUGUCAUUGAAAGAUAUUUCACUAAGAAUUUUAUAUUUUUAUAUUUUAAUACUUUAUGCCAUAAAAUUCUAGCUAGACUUUUUCUUUCAGUACUGUCCAGAUGCUGCUCCAUGGCUUCUAGUUUGCAUUGUUUCUGAUGAGAAAGCUAUCAUCUUCAUCUUUGUUUCCUGAUAUAUAAUGUAUCUUUUUUUCUCUGUUAGCUUUGGAGAUUUUUAGUUUAUUACUGUUUUUGAGCAAUUUGAAUAUAACGUUCCAUGGUGUAGAUUUCUUGGUAUUUCCUGUGCAUGGAGGCUAUUUGAAAUUCUUGGAUGUGUGGGUUUAUAGUUUUCAUAAUAUUUGAACAUUUUCUGGCCAUUAUGUCUUCAAAUAUAUUUUAUGUCUUCCCUCUCUCUUCUUUUGGGAUUUCCAUUACACAUUUGUUAGACACUUACUGAUGCUCUUUUUCAUUUUUAACAUGUUUUUUCCUUCCUUUUGUCUCAUUUUGUAUAGUUUAUGUUGCUGUGUCUUAAAGUUCACUAGUAUUUUCUUCUCCAGUGUCUAACCUUCUAUUUAUCCCAUUGAGUGUGUUUUUUUUUUUAUCACAGACAUUGUAGUUUUCAUGUAUGGAUGUUUUAUUCAGAUGUUUUUAUAGUUUAGUGUCUGUCCUUAACUUUUUAAAGAAAUGAAAUACAGUAAUGAAAAUAUUAAUGUCCAUAUCUGAUGGUUCUAAGAUCUGUGUUCUGAGUCAGUUUCAGUUGAUUAAUUCUUUUCUUCAUUAUAAUUCAUAUUUUCCAGCUUCUUUGCAUGCUGCAUAAUCUUUGAUUUUAUACAAGAUGUGAAUUUUAUCUUUUGGGGUGCUAGUUAGGAGAGGUAAGUGAGAAAAUAUUUUUGUUUAUGGCUACAUUGCAAGUAACUAGAACAGUGCCUUAGAUGGCGGCUCAAUCAAUAAAAUGGAUGGACGGAUGAAUCAGGGUAUGCUGGUGGCCAAUUGGAGGAACCAGGAGAUUAGAGGGCAACAAUAUGUUGCAGACAGCGUAUUCACUAUGAAGUGAAUACCUACACCAAGGCAAUUGAGUCUUGACUGCAUGAUGUCCUGGCUUUAGGAUGUCUUUUCCAUCUACAUUUGAAUACAGUUGUAAUUGGAUUUCAGAAUUCCUCUUAAUGUAGGAAAUCAUACUGACUCCAAGAUAAUACUAGAAGACCAAAUUUCUCUUUCCUUUUUUUAUAUGCUAUUUUCACUGUUUUUUUUUUUUUGCCUUUUUAGGGCCGUACCUGUGACAUAUAGAAGUUCCCUGGCUAGGGGUCAAAUCAGAGCUGUAGCUGCCAGCCUAUACCACAGCAGCAGCAAUGCCAGAUCUGAGCCCAGUCUGCGACCUACACUACAGUUCAUGGCAAUGCCAGAUUCUUAACCCACUGAGUGAGGCCAGAGAAUCGAACCUGCAUCCUUGUGGAUACUAGUUGGGUUCAUUAUUGCUGAGCCACAAUGGGAACUCUUUCACUGGAAUAUUUUAAAUAUGUUUCUCAAUGAAGAGUCAAUUCCUUUUCAUUACACUUGUAUUUCAAACAUUUUUAAGAGAUGAAAAUGCAUUAAAGUAUUAACUGGAACUUCUGGGCAAAUAGCUCCCCUGUUUAGUCUUCAGUUUAAUUACUAUGUAAUUCUGCCAGCUUUCUCCAGAAAUAAUUGACUGAAUGAAGUAAUUUUAUUGGAUAUUUACAAACACUGUGACUUAUAAAGGUCUGUGAAGUCCCAUUUGGCUUGGAAAUGACUGAGGCUAACCUGGCAGUGCAAAACAGUUAUUUUGGGCUUAGCAUAUUUUCAUAGUCACCAACCCAGGAAGAUACUGGGAAGGAAACAGAGUAAGGUAAAAUGUUUGGCCUUUAUGCUCAGUCCUAGUUUUGUAAUUUUAGCUGUAAGUUUACUUUAAAAUGAGAGAGUAAAGCCUUGAUUUGAUCUAAGACACGAAGUGUUGGAUCGUGAUUUCUGUGUGUGGUUGUUAGAAUAUCUUGUUAAAUUAUGAAUAGCCUGGAAGAAAUUUUCAAAGCUUUGAGGAUCAAUAGUCAAAGCUUAAACAUUGGUUUGUCAAUCAUGGGAGACAUGAAUUACCAAGGUCACUCUAUGAGUGGUACUGAUUUAAUAUUCUGUAAUAAAGUGCUUUUGUUUUGGAUUAAAUAAUAGGGCUUGAUUUUGAAGGCAUGAUAUCAAACUAGAGAGCAGACUCUUUCAAAGUGGGCUCUUCAUGGUCUUAAAAUAUUGAUAAGUGUGGAGAGUGGAAGCAGGACUAUUGGGUAAGGUGUUU